AUUGCCUACGGGGCGCAGCAGUCGGGAAUAUUGCGCAAUGGAGGAAACUCUGACGCAGUGACGCCGCGUGCAGGAAGAAGGUUUUCGGAUUGUAAACUGCUUUAGACAGGGAAGAAAAAAGACAGUACCUGUAGAAUAAGCUCCGGCUAACUACGUGCCAGCAGCCGCGGUAAUACGUAGGGGGCAAGCGUUAUCCGGAUUUACUGGGUGUAAAGGGAGCGUAGGUGGCAUGGCAAGCCAGAAGUGAAAACCCGGGGCUUAACCCCGCGGAUUGCUUUUGGAACUGUCAGGCUGGAGUGCAGGAG
RNAcentral lists this ribosomal RNA (305 nucleotides) under uncultured bacterium. Its description in RNAcentral is "bacterial SSU rRNA". It matches the Rfam family "Bacterial small subunit ribosomal RNA", at positions 333 to 654 of the family's 1533-position model. The record is from RNAcentral.